AUUGAACGCUGGCGGAAUGCUUUACACAUGCAAGUCGAACGGCAGCACGGACUUCGGUCUGGUGGCGAGUGGCGAACGGGUGAGUAAUACAUCGGAACGUGCCCAGUCGUGGGGGAUAACGUAGCGAAAGCUACGCUAAUACCGCAUACGAUCUAAGGAUGAAAGCGGGGGAUCGCAAGACCUCGCGCGAUUGGAGCGGCCGAUGGCAGAUUAGGUAGUUGGUAGGGUAAAGGCCUACCAAGCCGACGAUCUGUAGCUGGUCUGAGAGGAUGAUCAGCCACACUGGGACUGGGACACGGCCAAGACUCCUACGGGCGGCAGCAGUGGGGAAUUUUGGACAAUGGGCGCAAGCCUGAUACAGCCAUUCCGCGUGCAGGAUGAAGGCCUUCGGGUUGUAAACUGCUUUUGUACAGAACGAAAAGGCUCUGGUUAAUACCCGGGGCUCAUGACGGUACUGUAAGAAUAAGCACCGGCUAACUACGUGCCAGCAGCCGCCGUAA
This 500-nucleotide ribosomal RNA is filed under the name uncultured bacterium. Its description in RNAcentral is "partial 16S ribosomal RNA". It matches the Rfam family "Bacterial small subunit ribosomal RNA", at positions 30 to 523 of the family's 1533-position model. The record is from RNAcentral.